GUGGCCGCACACCUUCCGACGACAGACCUGAACCUCCCUGAGGCCCCGCUGGCAGCCCCGGGUCAUCCCCGGCAGCACUCGGGUUUAACCCGAUUAGGGAGCAGAAGGUGAGGAAGGGCCGUCCGCAGGUGGGCCGAGCAGAAGGGGCUGGGCGCAGUGCCUCCCGCAGGACAGCCCCGAGCGGAGCCGCUCGGCGCCCGGCAGCGCAUCCCGCGCCCCGCAUCUCGGAUGGCUGCGAGCGCCCUACGCACGGAGAUCACCGCGCCUUACAGCGUGCUGCAGCACCUGUAUAAAUUUUGAAUUUACACAUAUAAAGACGAAUAUGUAUUUUCUUGUAACCGGGUCACAAUUAUUUAUGAGCGCUAAUACUAAUUUUUUCUCUUGCCUUCAUUACAUCCAAUCAAAGCGCCGUGUAGCAAGGUACUCAAAAGGGUAUGAGUUUAUCAUCCCAUUUCAGAGGCAAACGAGAAAGACUGUUUCUCGAAAAGUCACAGUGAGUCAACGAAGACGCAUACACGAAAUUAGACCGAGUUUUUCUAAUCUGGUUAUUUCUACUGAUUCGAGCAUUGAUUUUUGAAGCCGAAGGCGUGAAUGAUUUUCAGACUAAUCAACCAAAGGCGCAGCAAGGAGACCGCGGUACACAGCUGCCGUAAGUAAAACUGCUGUGCCCAGCACCAGGAACUUUCCGGCAAUAAUGAAGGUGUUAAGGGCGAUGUGUCGUCAGUCGUGUUCUUCAGCUUCCUUUUGUGUCACACUAAACCAUCAGCAAAAGGUUGGACAGUUUUUCCCGUAGUGGUGUUUGCUUGCUUAGUUAGACUUUGGGAAGUCAGGUUAAUCCUAUGUUCCACAGGGGCUCAGUGACAUCAAAUGACUAAUGUUUCUGUGAAUGCUUCGGG
Pseudopipra pipra is the source of this 896-nucleotide long non-coding RNA. RefSeq lists it as uncharacterized. The transcript has 2 exons. NCBI's taxonomy places the organism in Eukaryota, Metazoa, Chordata, Aves, Passeriformes, Pipridae. The record is from RefSeq and is a predicted model, not a curated record.